GUGAGAACGCUCCCUUCGGGGAGCUAGUAAAGCGGCGCACGGGUGAGUAACACGUGGGUAAUCUGCCCUUGAGUUCGGGAUAACCCGGGGAAACCCGGGCUAAUACCGAAUGCGCCCCAGGGGUCUUCGGCCUCCUGGGAGAAAGAUGGCCUCUGCUUGCAAGCUAUCGCUCAUGGAUGAGCCCGCGUCCCAUUAGCUUGUUGGUGAGGUAACGGCUCACCAAGGCUCAGAUGGGUAGCUGAUCUGAGAGGAUGAUCAGCCACACUGGAACUGAGACACGGUCCAGACUCCUACGGGAGGCAGCAGUGGGGAAUUUUGGGCAAUGGGCGAAAGCCUGACCCAGCAACGCCGCGUGAGGGAUGAAGGUCUUCGGAUCGUAAACCUCUGUCAGGAGGGAAGAGCAGUCACAUGGCCAAUACCCAUGGGACCCGACGGUACCUCCAAAGGAAGCGCCGGCUAACUCCGUGCCAGCAGCCGCGGUAAUACGGAGGGCGCAAGCGUUGUUCGGAAUUACUGGGCGUAAAGCGCGUGUAGGCGGUUUGGAAAGUCGGGUGUGAAAUCCCCGGGCCUAACCCGGGAACUGCAUCCGAAACUUCCUAACUGGAGUCCCGGAGAGGAAGGCAGAAUUCCCAGUGUAGGGGUGAAAUCCGUAGAUAUUGGGAGGAAUACCAGUGGCGAAGGCGGCCUUCUGGACGGUGACUGACGCUGAGACGCGAAAGCGUGGGGAGCAAACAGGAUUAGAUACCUG
This 748-nucleotide ribosomal RNA is filed under the name uncultured bacterium. RNAcentral describes it as "bacterial SSU rRNA". It matches the Rfam family "Bacterial small subunit ribosomal RNA", at positions 66 to 789 of the family's 1533-position model. The record is from RNAcentral.